Molecule: RNA transcript, 5913 nt
Organism: Amphiprion ocellaris (clown anemonefish)
Lineage: Eukaryota; Metazoa; Chordata; Actinopteri; Pomacentridae
Gene name: NLR family CARD domain-containing protein 3-like
Exons: 14
Source: RefSeq, a predicted model, not a curated record
UGCAUUUAUUUAGGAGGCGUUUCCUCCUCCGUUGCCAUGACAACAGUGACGUCACGGCCCUACCUGUUCUUCCUGUUCUCUAAGUUAGUUUCACUUUUACCAUCCUCGUGUCGCAGCUUGUUUUCUCCGUGUGAAGGUGAAGGUAAACGGUGUGUGUGAGCUGGUGUGAGUUCAGCAGCAUGGAUCAGUGUGAGGAUCCUCACAGCUCUCUGUGGGGGGAACAGAAGAACCAGAACAAAGCUGAGAGGAAAGAACCUGGAUCUGAACCAGAACCUGCACCAGAACCAGAACCUGGAUCUGGAUCUGAACCAGAACCUGGAUCUGAUCCUGGACCUGAACCUGAUCCUGGACCUGCACCCAGCUGUGUGUCCUUUAAGAGCGAUGACUCAAAGGAUAUUUUAGUUGAAUUCAAAGGAGAACAACCUCGUGCUUCAAAGAGGAGGAAGCUGGAAAAUCAAGACUCAUCUGAACCAGAACUGGACUCUGUGUCCAUGAAGACUGGCUACACUGGAAAACAUCCUGAUAAUUUAAGGAAAAGGCACCGUCCUGUGGAUGAAAGAGUGGAGCAGCAGAGUUCAGAGGUUCCCAGAAUUCAGUCUGUCCAGCAGCAUCACCUGGACUCCAUAUUCAUGCUGCUGGAGGACAACAUGGUGACUUUUAUGAAGAAGGAGCUGAAGAAGAUGCAGAAGGUUGUGAGUCCAGAUUACCCAGAAUGCUCAGAGAGUCAGAGGGAGGAUGAGGAGGAGUUGGAGGGUGAUGAUGAAGAUCAGAGGAGCAGCAGAGCGAUGUUUCAGCAGAUCACAGUGUUGUUCCUGAGGAGGAUGAAGCAGGAGAAGCUGGCUGACUGUCUGCAGAGCAAAUUUGCUGCUGCAGUUUGUGGACGUAAACUUAAAUGUGGCCUGAAGAAGAAGUUCCAGAGAGUGUUUGAGGGCAUCGCUAAAGCAGGACAGUCGACCCUCCUGAAUGAGAUCUACACAGAGCUGUACAUCACAGAGGGAGGGACUGCAGAGGUCAAUGAUGAACAUGAGGUCAGACAGAUUGAAGCAGCAUCCAGGAAAGCAGACAGAGUAGAAACAAGCAUCAGACCAGAAGACAUCUUUAAAGGCUCACAUGGAAGAGAUGGACCAAUCAGAACAGUGAUGACACAGGGAGUGGCUGGCAUCGGGAAAACAGUGUUAACACAGAAGUUGACUCUGGACUGGGCUGAAGACAAAAGCAACCAGGACAUCCACUUCAUGUUUCCAUUGACUUUCAGAGAGCUGAAUGUGCUGAAAGAGAGAAAGUUCAGUUUGGUGGAACUUGUUCAUCACUUCUUCAGUGAAACCAAAGCAGCAGGAAUGUGCAAGUUUGAAGACUUCCAGGUUGUGUUGAUCUUUGACGGUCUGGAUGAGUGUCGCCUUCCUCUGGACUUCCACAACAAUGAGGUCCUGACUGAUGUUACAGAGUCCACCUCAGUGGAUGUGCUGCUGACAAACCUGAUCAGGGGGAAGCUGCUUCCUUCUGCUCGUCUCUGGAUAACCACACGACCUGCAGCAGCCAAUCAGAUCCCUCCUGACUGUGUGGACAUGGUGACGGAGGUCAGAGGGUUCAGCGACCCACAGAAGGAGGAGUACUUCAGGAAGAGAUCCAGAGAUGAGGAGCAGGCCAGCAGCAUCAUCUCCCACAUGAAGACAUCACGAAGCCUCCACAUCAUGUGCCACAUCCCAGUGUUCUGCUGGAUCACUGCUACAGUUCUGGAGAAGCUGCUGAGAACCAGAGAGGGAGGAGAUCUGCCCAGAACCCUGACUGAGAUGUUCAUCCACCACCUGGUGGUUCAGACCAAAGUCAAGAAGGUCAAGUAUGAUGGAGGAGCUGAGACAGAUCCACACUGGAGUCCAGACAGCAGGAGGAUGAUUGAGUCUCUGGGAAAACUGGCUUUUAAUCAGCUGCAGAAAGGAAACCUGAUCUUCUAUGAGUCCGACCUGACAGAGUGUGGCAUCGAUGUGGAAGCAGCCUCAAAGUACUCAGGAGUGUUCACACAGAUCUUUAAAGAGGAGAGAGGACUGUACCAGGACAAGGUGUUCUGCUUCGUCCAUCUGAGUGUUCAGGAGUUUCUGGCUGCAGUCUACAUGUUCCACUGUUACACCAACAGGAAGCAGGAGGUUCUGGAGGACUUCCUGGGAAAAGACUGGAAAGAUGAGAACAGAGACACUCUGGAUGUGUUCCUGAAGAGAGUCAUGGAGAAAUCCCUGAGAAGUAAAAAUGGUCACCUGGACCUGUUUGUUCGCUUCCUUCAUGGCCUCUGUCUGGAGUCCAAUCAGAGACUCUUAGGAGGUCUGCUGGGUCGGACAGAGAACCGUCCAGGAAUGAUCCAGAGAGUCAUCAACAACCUGAAGGAGAUGAAGAGUGAUGAAAUGUCUCCAGACAGAAGCAUCAACAUCUUCCACUGUCUGAUGGAGAUGAAGGAUCUCUCAGUACAUCAGGAGAUCCAAGAGUUCCUGCAGUCAGAGAACAGAUCAGAGAAGUUCCUCUCUGAGAUCCACUGCUCAGCUCUGGCCUACAUGCUGCAGAUGUCAGAGGAGGUUCUGGAUGAGUUGGACCUGAAGAAGUACAGAACAUCAGAGGAGGGAAAACUGAGACUGAUUCCAGCUGUAAGGAACUGCAGAAAGUUCAGACUUUCUGACUGUAGACUCUCAGAGAGUCACUGUGAAGUUGUGGCCUCAGCUCUGAAGUCCAACCCCUCCCAUCUGAUAGAUCUGGACCUGUAUGGAAACAACCUGCAGGAUUCAGGAGUGAAGCAUCUUUCUGCUGGACUGCAGAGUCCAAACUGUAAACUGGAGACUCUCAGAUUGAAGGACUGCAGGUUGUCAGAGAUCAGCUGUGAUUCUCUGGUCUCAGCUCUGAAGUCCAACCCCUCCCAUCUGGAACAUCUGGACCUGAGCUGGAACAUCCUGCAGGAUUCAGGAGUGAAACAUCUGAGUGGUUUUCUGGAGAGUCCAGACUGCAUCCUGAAGGAUCUGAGAUUGGAGGACUGCAGUUUGUCAGAGAUCAGCUGUGAUUCUCUGGUCUCAGCUCUGAAGUCCAACCCCUCCCAUCUGGAACAUCUGGACCUGAGUCUGAACAACCUGCAGGAUUCAGGAGUGAAACAUCUGUGUGGUUUUCUGGAGAGUCCAGACUGCAUCCUGAAGACUCUGAGAUUGAGGUGCUGCAGUUUGUCAGAGAUCAGCUGUGAUUCUCUGGUCUCAGCUCUGAAGUCCAACCCCUCCCAUCUGGAACAUCUGGACCUGAGGUGGAACAACCUGCAGGAUUCAUCAGUGGAACAUCUGUUAGAUCUUGUGAAGAGUCCAGACUGCAUCCUGAAGACUCUGAGAUGGAGGUUCUGAUCAGGACGGUGUUUGUGCUGAGAGGAUGAAGUGUGUCCUGAUGAUCCAGAGGUUGAAGCAGCAGCAGCAGCAGCAGCAGCAGCAGCAGCAGCUGGUGUGUAGAGACUCUGACUGGACCAUGUUACUGGGAGGUGGACUGGGAACCAGUAUGAAGUGUGUUGUUCCUGUACAGUUUAGUGUUGCAGCUCCACACUGUGAAUGAGGGAGAAGUUCAGUUAAUGUUGACUUGAUCCGUUGGAGGUUGAUGAUGUUCAGACUCAGGGGUGAGGCGAAUAUUCGGAUCUCAAAAUUAAUAUUCGGAUACCACCGUCACGACGGAAUAUUCAGAUAUUCGGGUCCAGCCCUAGAGUUAUGUACUUCUUUGCGAAAGCCAGUCUCUUCUCCUUUUGCAGUUUGGUGAGUCGCAUGGUAUAUUGCCUCUUGUAAGCUUUCAGCCCCAAUGUUUCUGUUAAAAAUGAUGUACAGUGCACUUAGAAACAUCUUCUCCAAGAUUUUUCAGCAUCUGACUGAGUCGCCGGCAUGACUGGUGUCUUUUACCCUUGGCCUUUCUCAUCAGAUCCUUGGCUCUUGCAGUUAGGCCAGAUGGACUCCUGAGUGAGGCAAGUCCUUGAAGGAUCCUCCUUUAUUCUACUUUUGCCACCACUUCUGCACCCAGCAGAUACUUCUGCAAAGGGCUUGAGGUACCUGCUGACCAAUUUUUCCUGCAUUUUGAAGAACAAUGGCCUGUGCAUUAAUCUGAGACUCUGAAAGAGAGCUUUUCCACCCUUACUCUUCUCCAUAGUAACAAUGGCUUCCAAAAUCUGGUUGUGAGUUUAAUGCAUUUUGGUCAAGCAAGAAAUGUAUCUACUGGAACCUGACAGUUUGACCAGACAAACAACCAAACAGUACCUGAUUGAUCAGGUGGAACCCAUUUUUGUGGCAAUCAAACACGUUGUCCGAUGGGGAGAACAAACUUUUGGGACACGGUGUAGAAUAAAGUUGGUUAAAUUUGCUGUAAUUCCAGCAAUUUACAGCAAACGGAGGCUGGUUCAUGAACACAGACUCUGAUUCUGAGCUGAAAAUCCACAUUUCAUAUUCUGUGAUUGGUAUCUGCUCACUGAGAGCCUCAGUUCAAGAUUUUCAACCCUUUAUCUGUUUCUGGGAAUUUUACAUCAUUAUUAUUCUGCCAAGGAGGCAGAGUAAUAAUGAUGUUAAAAAAAUAAAAAUAAAAAAAGUCUGUCUUUGUUACCAACAUUACUCAAAAAUGGAUUAAUGGAUUUUUAUGAAAUUUUUAGGGAAGGUCAGAAAUGACACAAGGACCAAUUGAUUAGAUUUUGGCAGUGAUGCAGCUUAUAGUCUGGAUCCAUGGGUUUUUGAAAGAUGAGAUCUUUCAAAAAUGCACUCUGAGUGCUUUUCUAGUCUUUUAGUUUUGUCGUUCUACUAGCAUCACCUCACUGUUGGUAAUAAUUCAGUCUAAUCUUUUUUAAAACAUGUAUGAAACAUAAUCCUGACUCAUCUUGUAAAUAAUAAGAGCAUUUAAGCCUUGAAAUAAAAUCUGUCUUUACUUGUGUUAGUUGAUCAUCAUCAUGACUUUAUUUCAACUUGUUUUUUUCUAGUAAAAUAUCCGAGGGAUAAACACCAUUAAGUUCAUAAAUUCCCCUUUUACAGCUCAGUUGAUUCUUUUUGUGUUUUUGUUUAAUCAUAUAUUUAUCAUGUGUCAUUUACUGUGUUUAUUAGUUUAUUUCUGUCAUUCAUUUCAACCAGCUUAUUUACAGACGCUGCAGUUAAACUUUUGUCACAUGCUUGCAAAAUCUGAAAUGUAACAUCGCUUUCUCGUGGUCACGGUUCAUAACUCCAAAUUUGUUUUAUUUUUGAAUCACUACACCGAAGUACUACAUUUAGGUAAGUUUUCUCGCAUGAAAUUUUGUUGUACUUUCAUGCUUUGACCACCAGAGGGCAGAAAAUCACAUUAUUUAUGUUGCUUCAACGUGCAGCAGAGGAUAAUUCCUUAAAGUUUUGUGAUUUCAUUAAUAUCCACAUUAGAUGUAAAGAUGUUCGGCAUAAUUUCACUGCACUUUCUCGCUGACUGUUCCAAAAUCAUGAAAUACUUUAAAAACAAGAGACUUAUGAUGGUAAAUGCAGCUUAUCUGAAUCUCGCCAACUUUACCUUUAGUCUGUGGCCACUAGAGGGUGUUGUAGGAAACUGUAAUUUCUACAAUUCUAAAUAUGAAUUGUGUUUGUCUGGACCUUGACUUUUAGUCAGGAUCACAAUAAGCCGAACUCUGAGUAGUUUUCUGUCUGUUUUCCAUGAUAUGUGAUUAUGUUGUGACCAGAGUCAAGCACCAAGGUCUCCCAACCCGUGACAACUGCUCAGCUGAGGAAUCUGUAACUGUCCUGCUGUGUGAAGGACGGAUACUUCUAUAAGUUUAUGUUUGAUGUUUUAGUCUGUCAGAUCUCUGAACACGAUCCUGGUGUUGGAGUUCUGCCCUUUCAGCUGGAAUAUUCAUUCUGCAUUUCUCUUCUUUAUUACUCAUUGUUACUCCGUUAUUCUUUAAUAAACUGCAAAGACAAA